This is a long non-coding RNA of Mercurialis annua (annual mercury), 233 nucleotides long. RefSeq lists it as uncharacterized. Lineage: Eukaryota; Viridiplantae; Streptophyta; Magnoliopsida; Malpighiales; Euphorbiaceae. The transcript has 3 exons. The record is from RefSeq and is a predicted model, not a curated record.
CAAUGAAUUUGUAAGGCGUAUUUGGACGGCGUUCUGAUAUACAAGUUAUAUUUGCAAGAAGAUAGAGAGAACAAGAAUCGACUAUUUCAAGAAUGUGAGUACAAACUCUGUUCUUUGUUGAAGGCGGUCGAUGGCCCUCAGAAUUUGUCUUUGUGAAUAUGGAUGCUUCGCCUUAUAGUCUCCUUCAAUCACUUUUUGAUCAUGAACACCAUGUUGGAAUACUUGAUGAGGAA